RNAcentral lists this long non-coding RNA (1229 nucleotides) under Callithrix jacchus (white-tufted-ear marmoset). RNAcentral's name for it is "lncRNA (ENSCJAG00000070510.1)". The record is from RNAcentral. Lineage: Eukaryota; Metazoa; Chordata; Mammalia; Primates; Cebidae.
CCCACUCAAAAAUAAAUGUGUUCUUCUUUCAAGCUUUGUGCUAUUCUCCUACCCAAUUUUCACCACUCUUUCUGUUUUUACUUCUUAGCUUUACCCAUCCUGAAACUCUCUCUAGAGAGUCUCAUGUGAUAUGAAAGCGGGAAACACAAAGUGUGGAGGUCACCCAGAUGGACAGCAGGAUCAUAAUGUGGACAAGGCACCCGAGAAUGUCCAUCUCAUAAACUGCUGAGGACAAGAAAGAAGAAAGGAAUUCAAUCACAGGCAGGAAAUGGCAAACCACCCACAAGGGACUGAUGCCAUCUAUGGGGACAGGGACAACUUGAAAUUGAUCAGGAGAAAUUUAUUGAAAGAUGGCCUCCUGCAACUGCUCAAAAUGCAACAUGCUGCCCAGGUCCUGCUCAGACCACUGAUAACUCAGAAGUUAACACUCAAGAGAGGAAAGGUGAGUCAAGGCUGUUUGAUGACUACCCCAUGAAAAGAAUCGGAAUCACAUUCCUCUUGAUUCCUGUUUCUUUCUUAACAACAUUAAGUGUAAUGUUAGCCAAGCUAAUACAUAAUGUUUUGCUGUAUAAAAUGGUUUUUUUUUUUGUAGCCAGAUGUGAUUUUUUUUUUCUGCAAGCUGGGUUACUUUCAGUAUAGCAAAGUGUAGUACAUGAGCAAAGACUUUCAAGUCAAACAGAAUUAAUAAUUCAUCUCUGUCACAGAGCUCACGGUCUGCUGGACAACUGUGCUGACUGGAAAGGAAGGAAGCAUCUGAUGGCUAGGUCACUUGUCCAACAUCAGGCAGAGGCAGAUCUGGAAUUCAAACAGCCAGACUCCAAUGUGUUUCCUUUAACCACUUUUCUCACUUUUCAACUUGAUUCCACACAUCACUGCCGGGAAAACUUAGGUAAGUCAUUUGGGCUUUGGUUUUUUCAUCUUUACAGUGGAUAGACUGAGACCUUCUUCCCUAAUGCCUCUGAAGAUGACAUAAAAAAUACCCACAAAAUCCCUAGUCCAUUUACCUGCUCACACAGAUUUACUGAGUGGGAGUCUAAUUUCCAUCCCAUCACCACCUUCUCUCUAGCUGUCCAGACACCAUGCUUGCCUGGCCAAUGCCAUCAAAGAAUGGAACCAUCUUUUGAUCCACCCUCAGUGGCCAGAAAAAAGAGAGAGUUGUUCUGGCACAUUACUGUUUGAUUUUAUUUUACCUCAGGGAGUAAAAAUAAUGACUAUCAAUUAUAGCGACA